GAUGAAGAACGUAGCGAAAUGCGAUACGUAAUGUGAAUUGCAGAAUUCAGUGAAUCAUCGAGUCUUUGAACGCACAUUGCGCCCCCUGGUAUUCCGGGGGGCAUGCCUGUCCGAGCGUCAUUGCUGCCCUCGAGCACGGCUUGUGUGUUGGGCCUCCGCCCCCCGGCUCCCGGGGGGCGGGCCCGAAAGGCAGCGGCGGCACCGCGUCCGGUCCUCGAGCGUAUGGGGCUUCGUCACCCGCUCCGUAGGCCCGGCCGGCGCCCGCCGGCGACCCCCCUCAAUCUUUCCAGGUUGACCUCGGAUCAGGUAGGGAUACCCGCUGAACUUAAGCAUAUCAAUAAGCGGAGGA
Molecule: unclassified non-coding RNA, 349 nt
Filed under: soil metagenome
Description: partial contains 5.8S ribosomal RNA, internal transcribed spacer 2, and large subunit ribosomal RNA
Rfam family: 5.8S ribosomal RNA (bases 1-120)
Source: RNAcentral